Molecule: non-coding RNA, 103 nt
Organism: Panus rudis PR-1116 ss-1
Lineage: Eukaryota; Fungi; Basidiomycota; Agaricomycetes; Polyporales; Panaceae
Source: the annotation of a GenBank genome assembly
GACCCCAUAGCUCAGUGGUAGAGCGUGAGAUUCCAGCAGGCGGCUUCCAAUUGAACCGCUUGGUGAGUCCUCAAGGUCAUCCGUUCAAUCCGGGUUGGGGUCA